GUCAGCGUGUUAUUACUGUCUGAUUUGAUCGGAGGCAGGGGGUGGUCUCCAAUCAAACAGAGAAAAGGUCCUGGAGAAGUAGGGCUCGGUUUGGCUGGGGGGGCGGCCCAGUGUGGAGCCUCGCAGCAGUUUCCAGGCCCUCACUCUCGGCUUUCCCGGCUCUGAAAUAACUGCGUCCGGAGAUGUCAGCCUUCCAGUCCCAGGGACGCAGCCUUUGAUCCCGAUGAGGACCCUGAGACAUGGAAGAGCACUUUGUUCAAGAUCACAUGGUAUCAAAGUGAUCAAGCUGAGCCUUUCUCCAAGCAUCUGGGCUCCCACACCAGUCACGGAGCCACAGUUGGCGAGGUGGUUGUGAGGCGACACGCAGAGGUGCAUGUGCCAGUCAUAGUUCCAGCAGGAAAGAGACAACAGCCUCAAAGCUGGCUAACUGUGAGGUAUUUAAUAAGGAACUUACUCCAGGGUUUAGGGAAACCAAAAGGAAUGGUUCAGUGUCCCAGACGUAGCAACAGUAGAUGGGUAUGCCCACCACCAGUCCCAGAAGAAAAAGGAAAGGAAGUGGUUACGAGAAUCCAGAAUAUUUACAGCAGAUCUUCACUCAUAAGAGCAGGAUGCUAUAUGACAGCCACAA
Fukomys damarensis (Damara mole-rat) is the source of this 628-nucleotide long non-coding RNA. RefSeq lists it as uncharacterized. NCBI's taxonomy places the organism in Eukaryota, Metazoa, Chordata, Mammalia, Rodentia, Bathyergidae. The record is from RefSeq and is a predicted model, not a curated record. The transcript has 3 exons.